GAUGAACGCUGGCGGCGUGCUUAACACAUGCAAGUCGAACGGUGAAGGCGGAGCUUGCUCUGCUGGAUCAGUGGCGAACGGGUGAGUAACACGUGAGCAAUCUGCCCCUGACUCUGGGAUAAGCGCUGGAAACGGCGUCUAAUACUGGAUACGAGCUGCGAAGGCAUCUUCAGCAGCUGGAAAGAACUUCGGUCAGGGAUGAGCUCGCGGCCUAUCAGCUUGUUGGUGAGGUAACGGCUCACCAAGGCGUCGACGGGUAGCCGGCCUGAGAGGGUGACCGGCCACACUGGGACUGAGACACGGCCCAGACUCCUACGGGAGGCAGCAGUGGGGAAUAUUGCACAAUGGGCGAAAGCCUGAUGCAGCAACGCCGCGUGAGGGACGACGGCCUUCGGGUUGUAAACCUCUUUUAGCAGGAAAGAAGCGAAAGUGACGGUACCUGCAGAAAAAGCGCCGGCUAACUACGUG
Molecule: ribosomal RNA, 468 nt
Filed under: uncultured bacterium
Lineage: Bacteria
Description: partial 16S ribosomal RNA
Rfam family: Bacterial small subunit ribosomal RNA
Source: RNAcentral